This 1351-nucleotide non-coding RNA is filed under the name Pongo abelii (Sumatran orangutan). Lineage: Eukaryota; Metazoa; Chordata; Mammalia; Primates; Hominidae. The record is from RNAcentral.
ACCGCUAGCUGCUCGGCUGUGGGUUAGCAGCACCCUGACCGGAGUGGCCCCCGCGUAACCCCGAGGCCGAGACUCCCGGCCUGGCCUCCUUGGGCCCACGACGCCUGCCCCGCGGAGCGGACCCAUGGGCCUGAGGUUUGUGUGCGGGGCCUCAGGCGAGCGCUGGCGCAGCCUGUCCCCCACCCUCUGCGCCCUGCGGGCCUGGCCCUCCCCGUGGAAGGACCGCGGGCUUCGGGGCCCCACGCCGGGGGGCUGACCCCUGCCACACAUACAGCGGUGGCUGCGGGCCUGGGGCGGCAGCACAGCUAUUCUGCUCGGGCUGCGUGAGCCGACCCCGCUGUCUCUGCACCUACUUUUGCUGCGUUUGGUGCUGAUCCUGAAGUCCCAGGACAGGCGGCUGAGGGGGAAAGAUGAUGUGAAUUGGGUGGGCAGAGACAACUGAAAGCCACAGGACCCGGUUGGCACCUUUUUGGCCUCCUGGGCCUUUGCCUGCAGCCCCGCUCCCUGGGUCACCCGAAAGGAGGAGCUGGCGCUCUUUCCGGGCGCAGCAGCACCUGACCCACGCUGGAGGAAACGGUCCCCCUGGGCAGGAGAAGCUUUGGACCUGGCUGGAGCACACUCACGGAACCGCGCCAACGCCUGGCCUGUAGCCAGCUCCCACCUCCACUCCCACUUUCUAAAAUGCUUGCGGAUCUCGUGGCCGACCCUAACCAGAUACACAUGGGGAAAGUAAUCAGGUGGCGCACACACACUGCCUUUACGCCAUGGAGAACUUCCAAUUGUGGGUCGGCACAGACACAACCCAGUCUCCUCCCACCUCCCACAGUGCAGUGUCCUGAAUGGAGGACCCCAGCACCCAGAGGCAUCCACUGAAGGACUCUAAAUUCUACACAUGAAGGCAAACGUCUGUGGUUGACAGAAAUUACACUGGCCAGAAUCCCCAGUCCCCAUGAGGCUUGUCCAGAUGCAAUGAACCAGUCGCAGCUGACAUCACGCAGACCAUUCCUGAUCCCAGAGGUGCAUUUCGGGAUUCAUUCUAUUUCAUCAGAGACGGGGUCUUCCUGUGUUGCCCAGGCUGGUCUCGAACUCCUGGGCUGAAGCAAUCUUCCUGCCUUGGCCUCCCAGAGGGUUGGAAUUGCAGAUGUGAGGUGAGUCCUGGAACCCUGGCUGCACCCACAGACACAGCCACUCCUGGGCCCAUGUGGAUGGAACCUUCGAGUGCCAGAAUGCCUCGUCUCCAUGGAGACCAAAGUCAAGGGCCUGACUGGCCCAGUCUACCGAGACCACGAGCCCUGUUGUGCCCCUCAGCCAGGCCAACCCAAAUUCUUUUAAAUAAAAGGCACAAGCCACA